RNAcentral lists this long non-coding RNA (246 nucleotides) under Elaeis guineensis (African oil palm). RNAcentral describes it as "long non-coding RNA (EGUI_LNC007532)". The record is from RNAcentral. Lineage: Eukaryota; Viridiplantae; Streptophyta; Magnoliopsida; Arecales; Arecaceae.
UCAGGAUCAACCUUGAAUCUUUCUUUUUAUUGUAGAUUCUUCUUCUCCAAGUAGAAUCUCAGCUUUUAGAACCUUUGAUCAACUUUUGAUAUUUAACCGCAAACUCAACACUUGAGCAGCAGUCUUUCUCCUCAUUCUUGAUGUAGAAGCAAUCAUCCUCUUUAACUUAGGCAUGUGAGAAGAUGGGAUGCCCAACUCUUGGGCAUUGGAAAGAGGGGAAGAAGGAGAGAUGGCAUGGAGAAGGAG